UACAGGGGGGGCAAGCGUUGUUCGGAAUUACUGGGCGUAAAGGGCUUGUAGGUGGCCAACUAAGUCCGACGUGAAAUCCCUAGGCUUAACCUAGGAACUGCGUCGGAUACUGGAUGGCUUGAAUCCGGGAGAGGGAUGCGGAAUUCCAGGUGUAGCGGUGAAAUGCGUAGAUAUCUGGAAGAACACCGGUGGCGAAGGCGGCAUCCUGGACCGGUAUUGACACUGAAAAGCGAAAGCCAGGGGAGCAAACGGG
RNAcentral lists this ribosomal RNA (253 nucleotides) under uncultured bacterium. RNAcentral describes it as "partial 16S ribosomal RNA". It matches the Rfam family "Bacterial small subunit ribosomal RNA", at positions 524 to 776 of the family's 1533-position model. The record is from RNAcentral.